Molecule: ribosomal RNA, 391 nt
Filed under: uncultured bacterium
Lineage: Bacteria
Description: bacterial SSU rRNA
Rfam family: Bacterial small subunit ribosomal RNA
Source: RNAcentral
GACGAACGCUGGCGGCGUGCUUAACACAUGCAAGUCGAGCGGUAAGGCCCUUUCGGGGGUACACGAGCGGCGAACGGGUGAGUAACACGUGGGUGACCUGCCCUCAGCUCUGGGAUAAGCCCUGGGAAACCGGGUCUAAUACUGGAUAUGACUCCAUGACGCAUGUUGUGGGGUGGAAAGCCUUGUGCGGCUGAGGAUGGGCCCGCGGCCUAUCAGCUUGUUGGUGGGGUGANGGCCUACCAAGGCGACGACGGGUAGCCGGCCUGAGAGGGCGACCGGCCACACUGGGACCUGAGACACGGCCCAGACUCCUACGGGAGGCAGCAGGUGGGGAAUCUUGCGCAAUGGGCGAAAGCCUGACGCAGCGACGCCGCGUGAGGGAUGACGGCCU